RNAcentral lists this unclassified non-coding RNA (233 nucleotides) under fungal sp. RNAcentral describes it as "partial internal transcribed spacer region". Lineage: Eukaryota; Fungi. The record is from RNAcentral.
AAGUCGUAACCGUUGGUGAACCAGCGGAGGGAUCAUUACAAAUGAGAGUUUAUAAACUCCCUAAACCCCACUGUGAACCUACCUGUAUUUUGUUGCCUUGGCGGGCAGCCCAAGGGGCCAGGGCGGGGGCCCCUUGCCUAGGUCUCCCAGGUGCCCGCCGUAAUUUACUGUUACUCUAAGCUGCAGCAAGCAAAUUAAAAUAAAAACAUUCAACAACGGAUCUCUCGGUUCUG